AGACCCGAAACCCGGUGAUCUAGCCAUGGGCAGGUUGAAGGUUGGGUAACACUAACUGGAGGACCGAACCGACUAAUGUUGAAAAAUUAGCGGAUGACCUGUGGCUGGGGGUGAAAGGCCAAUCAAACCGGGAGAUAGCUGGUUCUCCCCGAAAGCUAUUUAGGUAGCGCCUCGUGAAUUCAUCUCCGGGGGUAGAGCACUGUUUCGGCUAGGGGGCCAUCCCGGCUUACCAACCCGAUGCAAACUGCGAAUACCGGAGAAUGUUAUCACGGGAGACACACGGCGGGUGCUAACGUCCGUCGUGAAGAGGGAAACAACCCAGACCGCCAGCUAAGGUCCCAAAGUCAUGGUUAAGUGGGAAACGAUGUGGGAAGGCCCAGACAGCCAGGAUGUUGGCUUAGAAGCAGCCAUCAUUUAAAGAAAGCGUAAUAGCUCACUGGUCGAGUCGGCCUGCGCGGAAGAUGUAACGGGGCUAAACCAUGCACCGAAGCUGCGGCAGCGACGCUUAUGCGUUGUUGGGUAGGGGAGCGUUCUGUAAGCCUGUGAAGGUGUGUCGUGAGGCAUGCUGGAGGUAUCAGAAGUGCGAAUGCUGACAUAAGUAACGAUAAAGCGGGUGAAAAGCCCGCUCGCCGGAAGACCAAGGGUUCCUGUCCAACGUUAAUCGGGGCAGGGUGAGUCGACCCCUAAGGCGAGGCCGAAAGGCGUAGUCGAUGGGAAACGGGUUAAUAUUCCCGUACUUGGUGUUACUGCGAAGGGGGGACGGAGAAGGCUAUGUUGGCCGGGCGACGGUUGUCCCGGUUUAAGCGUGUAGGUGUGUGUUCCAGGUAAAUCCGGUUCACUUUAACACUGAGGCGUGACGACGAGGCACUACGGUGCUG
RNAcentral lists this ribosomal RNA (878 nucleotides) under Salmonella enterica subsp. enterica serovar Dublin. RNAcentral's name for it is "partial 23S ribosomal RNA". It matches the Rfam family "Bacterial large subunit ribosomal RNA", at positions 711 to 1587 of the family's 2925-position model. The record is from RNAcentral. Lineage: Bacteria; Pseudomonadati; Pseudomonadota; Gammaproteobacteria; Enterobacterales; Enterobacteriaceae.